GGUUCAGUGGGCGCACUCAUCGAAAGAUGAGGGCGCGAAGCCGAAUGUCCUCCGGGUUGGACAACCCAAGGACAGCUUAGGUUGCCACCC
This 90-nucleotide non-coding RNA is filed under the name unclassified sequences. The record is from Rfam.